Molecule: ribosomal RNA, 376 nt
Filed under: uncultured archaeon
Lineage: Archaea
Description: bacterial SSU rRNA
Rfam family: Archaeal small subunit ribosomal RNA
Source: RNAcentral
ACUUUACCAUGCGGGCAACCGUGAUAAGGAAACCCCGAGUGCCAGCACAGGCUGGCUGUCCGCCAGUGUAAAUAACUGGUGAAGAAAGGGCCGGGCAAGACCGGUGCCAGCCGCCGCGGUAAUACCGGCGGCUCGAGUGGUGGCCACUAUUACUGGGCCUAAAGGGUCCGUAGCUUGAUAUGCAAGUCUCUUGAGAAAUCCGCCAGCUUGACUGGUGGGCGUUCAGGGGAGACUGCAUUGCUAGGGACCGGGAGAGGUGAGAGGUACUGCCGGGGUAGGGGUGAAAUCCUGUAAUCCCGGUGGGACCACCGAUGGUGAAGGCAUCUCACCAGAACGGGUCCGACAGUGAGGGACGAAAGCUGGGGGAGCAAACCGG